This 467-nucleotide ribosomal RNA is filed under the name uncultured bacterium. RNAcentral describes it as "bacterial SSU rRNA". It matches the Rfam family "Bacterial small subunit ribosomal RNA", at positions 330 to 794 of the family's 1533-position model. The record is from RNAcentral.
UCCAGACUCCUACGGGAGGCAGCAGUGAGGAAUAUUGGUCAAUGGACGGAAGUCUGAACCAGCCAUGCCGCGUGCAGGAAGACGGCUCUAUGAGUUGUAAACUGCUUUUGUACAAGGGUAAACCUGAAUACGUGUAUUCAGCUGAAAGUACUGUACGAAUAAGCAUCGGCUAACUCCGUGCCAGCAGCCGCGGUAAUACGGAGGAUGCGAGCGUUAUCCGGAUUUAUUGGGUUUAAAGGGUGCGUAGGCGGGCUGUUAAGUCAGCGGUCAAAUGUCGGGGCUCAACCCCGGCCUGCCGUUGAAACUGGCGGCCUCGAGUGGGCGAGAAGUAUGCGGAAUGCGUGGUGUAGCGGUGAAAUGCAUAGAUAUCACGCAGAACUCCGAUUGCGAAGGCAGCAUACCGGCGCCCUACUGACGCUGAGGCACGAAAGCGUGGGUAUCGAACAGGAUUAGAUACCCCCGUAUUA